UACGAAGGGGGCUAGCGUUGCUCGGAAUCACUGGGCGUAAAGGGCGCGUAGGCGGAUCUUUAAGUCGGGGGUGAAAGCCCAGGGCUCAACCCUGGAAUUGCCUUCGAUACUGAAGAUCUCGAGACCAGAAGAGGUAAGUGGAACUGCGAGUGUAGAGGUGAAAUUCGUAGAUAUUCGCAAGAACACCAGUGGCGAAGGCGGCUUACUGGUCCGGUUCUGACGCUGAGGCGCGAAAGCGUGGGGAGCAAACAGG
This 253-nucleotide ribosomal RNA is filed under the name uncultured bacterium. RNAcentral describes it as "partial 16S ribosomal RNA". It matches the Rfam family "Bacterial small subunit ribosomal RNA", at positions 524 to 776 of the family's 1533-position model. The record is from RNAcentral.